This 402-nucleotide ribosomal RNA is filed under the name Pelobates cultripes (western spadefoot toad). RNAcentral describes it as "LSU_rRNA_eukarya". It matches the Rfam family "Eukaryotic large subunit ribosomal RNA", at positions 967 to 1360 of the family's 3401-position model. Lineage: Eukaryota; Metazoa; Chordata; Amphibia; Anura; Pelobatidae. The record is from RNAcentral.
UUUCCCUCAGGAUAGCUGGCGCUCGUCGCGACGUGAACCCUUCGCAGUUUUAUCCGGUAAAGCGAAUGAUUAGAGGUCUUGGGGCCGAAACGAUCUCAACCUAUUCUCAAACUUUAAAUGGGUAAGAGGCCCGGCUCGCUGGCUUGGAGCCGGGCGUGGAAUGCGAGCGCCUAGUGGGACACUUUUGUUAAGCAGAACUGGCGCUGCGGGAUGAACCGAACGCCUGGUUAAGGCGCCCGAUGCCGACGCUCAUCAGACCCCAGAAAAGGUGUUGGUUGAUAUAGACAGCAGGACGGUGGCCAUGGAAGUCGGAACCCGCUAAAGAGUGUGUAACAACUCACCUGGUGGACAAUGUGGACUGAGUGGGGAACCAAAGCAACCUCCAUACAGCAGCUGCAUGAG